RNAcentral lists this long non-coding RNA (289 nucleotides) under Elaeis guineensis (African oil palm). RNAcentral's name for it is "long non-coding RNA (EGUI_LNC047026)". Lineage: Eukaryota; Viridiplantae; Streptophyta; Magnoliopsida; Arecales; Arecaceae. The record is from RNAcentral.
GUCGGGCGGUCGGGUUUCAUCACCGUCAGGACGAGUUUCUUCUCCCGUUCCCAACGGGGCCACGGGGGCACAUAGGGGCCAUCGCAAGGGUCUCUCCCCCCAUCCGGUCUAAAAGAACCGGGCCUUCGACUUUGCUCAUGUCAGGACGAGAUUCUUCUCUUGUUCCUGACAUGGCUGUGGGGGCACAUUAGGGCGUUGUAAGGCCUCUCCCCCCAUCCGAUCUAAAAGAAUCGGGCCUUUGACUUUGCUCAUGCCAGGAUGAGGUUCUCCUCCUGUUCCUGACAUGGCU